GUAGAGUAGAUAUUGCGCGUUAAGUGUCAUGGAAUGGGAAGUUGUCCAUGAACGAAGGUGUCCGGGUUUCCAGGAUUUUCCACGAUGCAAUAUUGCGUCCGCUA
This 104-nucleotide non-coding RNA is filed under the name uncultured Blautia sp. RNAcentral describes it as "THF riboswitch". It matches the Rfam family "THF (Tetrahydrofolate) riboswitch aptamer". Rfam says of the family: THF riboswitch presents a pseudoknot that joins P1-P2 and the loop of P3 and two THF binding. Lineage: Bacteria; Bacillati; Bacillota; Clostridia; Lachnospirales; Lachnospiraceae. The record is from RNAcentral.